Long non-coding RNA from Haemorhous mexicanus (house finch), 355 nucleotides. RefSeq lists it as uncharacterized. The record is from RefSeq and is a predicted model, not a curated record. NCBI's taxonomy places the organism in Eukaryota, Metazoa, Chordata, Aves, Passeriformes, Fringillidae. The transcript has 3 exons.
UCAGCUUUGUCUCAAUAGCAGGACACUGCUAUGGGCCAGUACCUGUUAACCAGUCCCCAACGUGAGAUAUUCCCCUGUAUCACUGCAAAUCCAAAUAAUAUCCUCAAUGACUGGAGACCAGAUCAGGAUUUACAAAAGGCAAAAACUGCUUUGUGCCCUGAUCGCACUUUAUUCCCAGGCACAAUUCUACUUACUCAAGUAAGCUGCAGCACUUGAAUAAAGUGGAGUUUUAUAUCCCAGGUUUCACAAGAGGAAAAACUGGAAGCCUCUCACUCUUUGCAUAUGUUUAGCAGGUUUCAUUCUUUCCUGAUGUAUUUUAGUAUAUGACUCUGUUUGUGUAUGUCUGCUUAUACCC